ACGAACGCUGGCGGCGUGCUUAACACAUGCAAGUCGAACGGAAAGGCCUCUUUCGGGGGGUACUCGAGUGGCGAACGGGUGAGUAACACGUGAGUAACCUGCCCUUGACUUUGGGAUAACUUCAGGAAACUGGGGCUAAUACCGGAUAGGAGCUCCUGCUGCAUGGUGGGGGUUGGAAAGUUUCGGCGGUUGGGGGUGGACUCGCGGCUUAUCAGCUUGUUGGUGGGGUAGUGGCUUACCAAGGCGUUGACGGGUAGCCGGCCUGAGAGGGUGACCGGCCACAUUGGGACUGAGAUACGGCCCAGACUCCUACGGGAGGCAGCAGUGGGGAAUAUUGCACCAUGGGUGGAAGCCUGAUGCAGCAACGCCGUGUGCGGGAUGACGGCCUUCGGGUUGUAAACCGCUUUCGCUCAUGACGAAGCUUUGUGUGACGGUAGUGGGUAAAGAAGCACCGGCUAACUACGUG
This 466-nucleotide ribosomal RNA is filed under the name uncultured bacterium. Its description in RNAcentral is "partial 16S ribosomal RNA". It matches the Rfam family "Bacterial small subunit ribosomal RNA", at positions 29 to 507 of the family's 1533-position model. The record is from RNAcentral.